CCUACGGGAGGCAGCAGUGGGGAAUAUUGCACAAUGGGGGAAACCCUGAUGCAGCGACGCCGCGUGAAGGAAGAAGUAUUUCGGUAUGUAAACUUCUAUCAGCAGGGAAGAAAAUGACGGUACCUGACUAAGAAGCCCCGGCUAACUACGUGCCAGCAGCCGCGGUAAUACGUAGGGGGCAAGCGUUAUCCGGAUUUACUGGGUGUAAAGGGAGCGUAGGCGGUGCAGCAAGUCAGAAGUGAAAGCCCGGGGCUCAACGCCGGGACUGCUUUUGAAAAUGUUGAACUAGAGUGCAGGAGAGGUAAGUGGAAUUCCUAGUGUAGCGGUGAAAUGCGUAGAUAUUAGGAGGAACACCAGUGGCGAAGGCGGCUUACUGGACUGUAAAUGACGCUGAGGCUCGAAAGCGUGGGGAGCAAACAGGAUUAGAUACCCUGGUAGUC
RNAcentral lists this ribosomal RNA (440 nucleotides) under uncultured bacterium. RNAcentral describes it as "partial 16S ribosomal RNA". It matches the Rfam family "Bacterial small subunit ribosomal RNA", at positions 338 to 795 of the family's 1533-position model. The record is from RNAcentral.